RNAcentral lists this ribosomal RNA (2925 nucleotides) under Escherichia coli. RNAcentral describes it as "bacterial LSU rRNA". It matches the Rfam family "Bacterial large subunit ribosomal RNA". Lineage: Bacteria; Pseudomonadati; Pseudomonadota; Gammaproteobacteria; Enterobacterales; Enterobacteriaceae. The record is from RNAcentral.
GGGUUGUGAGGUUAAGCGACUAAGCGUACACGGUGGAUGCCCUGGCAGUCAGAGGCGAUGAAGGACGUGCUAAUCUGCGAUAAGCGUCGGUGAGGUGAUAUGAACCGUUAUAACCGGCGAUUUCCGAAUGGGGAAACCCAGUGUGUUUCGACACACUAUCAUUAACUGAAUCCAUAGGUUAAUGAGGCGAACCGGGGGAACUGAAACAUCUAAGUACCCCGAGGAAAAGAAAUCAACCGAGAUUCCCCCAGUAGCGGCGAGCGAACGGGGAGGAGCCCAGAGCCUGAAUCAGUGUGUGUGUUAGUGGAAGCGUCUGGAAAGGCGUGCGAUACAGGGUGACAGCCCCGUACACAAAAAUGCACAUAUUGUGAGCUCGAUGAGUAGGGCGGGACACGUGGUAUCCUGUCUGAAUAUGGGGGGACCAUCCUCCAAGGCUAAAUACUCCUGACUGACCGAUAGUGAACCAGUACCGUGAGGGAAAGGCGAAAAGAACCCCGGCGAGGGGAGUGAAAAAGAACCUGAAACCGUGUACGUACAAGCAGUGGGAGCCUCUUAAUGGGGUGACUGCGUACCUUUUGUAUAAUGGGUCAGCGACUUAUAUUCUGUAGCAAGGUUAACCGAAUAGGGGAGCCGAAGGGAAACCGAGUCUUAACUGGGCGUUAAGUUGCAGGGUAUAGACCCGAAACCCGGUGAUCUAGCCAUGGGCAGGUUGAAGGUUGGGUAACACUAACUGGAGGACCGAACCGACUAAUGUUGAAAAAUUAGCGGAUGACUUGUGGCUGGGGGUGAAAGGCCAAUCAAACCGGGAGAUAGCUGGUUCUCCCCGAAAGCUAUUUAGGUAGCGCCUCGUGAAUUCAUCUCCGGGGGUAGAGCACUGUUUCGGCAAGGGGGUCAUCCCGACUUACCAACCCGAUGCAAACUGCGAAUACCGGAGAAUGUUAUCACGGGAGACACACGGCGGGUGCUAACGUCCGUCGUGAAGAGGGAAACAACCCAGACCGCCAGCUAAGGUCCCAAAGUCAUGGUUAAGUGGGAAACGAUGUGGGAAGGCCCAGACAGCCAGGAUGUUGGCUUAGAAGCAGCCAUCAUUUAAAGAAAGCGUAAUAGCUCACUGGUCGAGUCGGCCUGCGCGGAAGAUGUAACGGGGCUAAACCAUGCACCGAAGCUGCGGCAGCGACACUAUGUGUUGUUGGGUAGGGGAGCGUUCUGUAAGCCUGUGAAGGUGGCCUGUGAGGGUUGCUGGAGGUAUCAGAAGUGCGAAUGCUGACAUAAGUAACGAUAAAGCGGGUGAAAAGCCCGCUCGCCGGAAGACCAAGGGUUCCUGUCCAACGUUAAUCGGGGCAGGGUGAGUCGACCCCUAAGGCGAGGCCGAAAGGCGUAGUCGAUGGGAAACAGGUUAAUAUUCCUGUACUUGGUGUUACUGCGAAGGGGGGACGGAGAAGGCUAUGUUGGCCGGGCGACGGUUGUCCCGGUUUAAGCGUGUAGGCUGGUUUUCCAGGCAAAUCCGGAAAACCAAGGCUGAGGCGUGAUGACGAAGCACUACGGUGCUGAAGCGACAAAUGCCCUGCUUCCAGGAAAAGCCUCUAAGCAUCAGGUAACAUCAAAUCGUACCCCAAACCGACACAGGUGGUCAGGUAGAGAAUACCAAGGCGCUUGAGAGAACUCGGGUGAAGGAACUAGGCAAAAUGGUGCCGUAACUUCGGGAGAAGGCACGCUGAUAUGUAGGUGAAGCGACUUGCUCGUGGAGCUGAAAUCAGUCGAAGAUACCAGCUGGCUGCAACUGUUUAUUAAAAACACAGCACUGUGCAAACACGAAAGUGGACGUAUACGGUGUGACGCCUGCCCGGUGCCGGAAGGUUAAUUGAUGGGGUUAGCGGUAACGCGAAGCUCUUGAUCGAAGCCCCGGUAAACGGCGGCCGUAACUAUAACGGUCCUAAGGUAGCGAAAUUCCUUGUCGGGUAAGUUCCGACCUGCACGAAUGGCGUAAUGAUGGCCAGGCUGUCUCCACCCGAGACUCAGUGAAAUUGAACUCGCUGUGAAGAUGCAGUGUACCCGCGGCAAGACGGAAAGACCCCGUGAACCUUUACUAUAGCUUGACACUGAACAUUGAGCCUUGAUGUGUAGGAUAGGUGGGAGGCUUUGAAGUGUGGACGCCAGUCUGCAUGGAGCCGACCUUGAAAUACCACCCUUUAAUGUUUGAUGUUCUAACGUUGGCCCGUAAUCCGGGUUGCGGACAGUGUCUGGUGGGUAGUUUGACUGGGGCGGUCUCCUCCUAAAGAGUAACGGAGGAGCACGAAGGUUGGCUAAUCCUGGUCGGACAUCAGGAGGUUAGUGCAAUGGCAUAAGCCAGCUUGACUGCGAGCGUGACGGCGCGAGCAGGUGCGAAAGCAGGUCAUAGUGAUCCGGUGGUUCUGAAUGGAAGGGCCAUCGCUCAACGGAUAAAAGGUACUCCGGGGAUAACAGGCUGAUACCGCCCAAGAGUUCAUAUCGACGGCGGUGUUUGGCACCUCGAUGUCGGCUCAUCACAUCCUGGGGCUGAAGUAGGUCCCAAGGGUAUGGCUGUUCGCCAUUUAAAGUGGUACGCGAGCUGGGUUUAGAACGUCGUGAGACAGUUCGGUCCCUAUCUGCCGUGGGCGCUGGAGAACUGAGGGGGGCUGCUCCUAGUACGAGAGGACCGGAGUGGACGCAUCACUGGUGUUCGGGUUGUCAUGCCAAUGGCACUGCCCGGUAGCUAAAUGCGGAAGAGAUAAGUGCUGAAAGCAUCUAAGCACGAAACUUGCCCCGAGAUGAGUUCUCCCUGAGACUUAGAGUCUCCUGAAGGAACGUUGAAGACGACGACGUUGAUAGGCCGGGUGUGUAAGCGCAGCGAUGCGUUGAGCUAACCGGUACUAAUGAACCGUGAGGCUUAACCUUACAACGCCGAAG